Small nucleolar RNA from Gossypium arboreum, 107 nucleotides. It matches the Rfam family "Plant small nucleolar RNA R71". Rfam says of the family: R71 is a member of the C/D box family of snoRNAs containing the C (UGAUGA) and D (CUGA) box motifs. Multiple nearly identical copies of this snoRNA have been identified in Arabidopsis, and it is thought to function as a 2'-O-ribose methylation guide for 18S ribosomal RNA. The record is from Rfam. Lineage: Eukaryota; Viridiplantae; Streptophyta; Magnoliopsida; Malvales; Malvaceae.
AACCCAUUGUGAGGGAACCUUCUCUAUAAGUCCUUAUACCUCUCCCAUGCAUCAUAUAGAGUCUUUAAAUCCAUUUGCACAAAUGAAGAGAUAUCAUUCCUUAACUU